AAUGGGUCAGCGACUUAUAUUCUGUAGCAAGGUUAACCGAAUAGGGGAGCCGAAGGGAAACCGAGUCUUAACUGGGCGUUAAGUUGCAGGGUAUAGACCCGAAACCCGGUGAUCUAGCCAUGGGCAGGUUGAAGGUUGGGUAACACUAACUGGAGGACCGAACCGACUAAUGUUGAAAAAUUAGCGGAUGACUUGUGGCUGGGGGUGAAAGGCCAAUCAAACCGGGAGAUAGCUGGUUCUCCCCGAAAGCUAUUUAGGUAGCGCCUCGUGAAUUCAUCUCCGGGGGUAGAGCACUGUUUCGGCAAGGGGGUCAUCCCGACUUACCAACCCGAUGCAAACUGCGAAUACCGGAGAAUGUUAUCACGGGAGACACACGGCGGGUGCUAACGUCCGUCGUGAAGAGGGAAACAACCCAGACCGCCAGCUAAGGUCCCAAAGUCAUGGUUAAGUGGGAAACGAUGUGGGAAGGCCCAGACAGCCAGGAUGUUGGCUUAGAAGCAGCCAUCAUUUAAAGAAAGCGUAAUAGCUCACUGGUCGAGUCGGCCUGCGCGGAAGAUGUAACGGGGCUAAACCAUGCACCGAAGCUGCGGCAGCGACGCUUAUGCGUUGUUGGGUAGGGGAGCGUUCUGUAAGCCUG
RNAcentral lists this ribosomal RNA (637 nucleotides) under Escherichia coli. RNAcentral describes it as "partial 23S ribosomal RNA". It matches the Rfam family "Bacterial large subunit ribosomal RNA", at positions 614 to 1251 of the family's 2925-position model. Lineage: Bacteria; Pseudomonadati; Pseudomonadota; Gammaproteobacteria; Enterobacterales; Enterobacteriaceae. The record is from RNAcentral.